Long non-coding RNA from Macrobrachium nipponense, 305 nucleotides. RefSeq lists it as uncharacterized. NCBI's taxonomy places the organism in Eukaryota, Metazoa, Arthropoda, Malacostraca, Decapoda, Palaemonidae. The transcript has 3 exons. The record is from RefSeq and is a predicted model, not a curated record.
CUCUGCUAGACAUCAGUCCCUUCACAGCUUCGGAGUUGCAUCGCCACUGCGUAUCAAGAGUCCAAGACAGUGCAGUCGCCAAGUAUAGUUCAAGGUCUAUCUAAGCUUGGUCUAGUUGACAGCUGAGAUAACGCUGAUAAACAGUGAGACUAGAAAGACUCUUCACUGCAAUGGCACCUCGUAUCGCUGACUCCCACCGGGCCAAGAAACAGAGCCCUCGGGGUCUGUCUGCUGCCCCCUCCUGUAGAAGGAAACUUUUCUCCGUGCUCUUAAAUAGUACUACACCUUACAGAAAGAUGCCAAAG